Molecule: non-coding RNA, 30 nt
Filed under: Homo sapiens (human)
Lineage: Eukaryota; Metazoa; Chordata; Mammalia; Primates; Hominidae
Source: RNAcentral
UGCUAUGAAGAACUAUGUGGGGCUGGGUAA